This 200-nucleotide unclassified non-coding RNA is filed under the name Pavona cactus. Its description in RNAcentral is "ITS1". The record is from RNAcentral. Lineage: Eukaryota; Metazoa; Cnidaria; Anthozoa; Scleractinia; Agariciidae.
GAUAGAAUAAUCCAAGACGAGUCCUUGAGACUUGUUUACUGUGUGAAUUGUACGCAAUCUUUUAGGGGUCGGUCUCUGUGCCGUUAAAUGGUCGUCCGCCGCUUGGCGUGCGUUCGGUCAGCCCCGACUUUAUGUUUUUUCAAACUUUGUUUAUUCAGUCUGAGAACCAAUAGUGUUGGUAAACGAAAAAGAGAAAGACA